This 240-nucleotide unclassified non-coding RNA is filed under the name soil metagenome. RNAcentral's name for it is "partial contains 5.8S ribosomal RNA, internal transcribed spacer 2, and large subunit ribosomal RNA". The record is from RNAcentral.
AACGCACGAGACCUGCGGACCUGCGGAAGGAUCAUUACCGAGUUUACAAAACUCCCAAACCCUUUGUGAACCUUACCUAUCGUUGCUUCGGCGGGAACGCCCCGGCGCCCUCGCGGCCCGGAACCAGGCGCCCGCCGGAGGCCCCAAACCCUCAUGUCUUUAGUGGUUUCCUCCUCUGAGUGACAUAAACAAAUAAAGUAAAAACUUUCAACAACGGAUCUCUAGAUCGGAAGAGCACAC